Anolis sagrei ordinatus is the source of this 170-nucleotide non-coding RNA. The record is from RefSeq and is a predicted model, not a curated record. Lineage: Eukaryota; Metazoa; Chordata; Lepidosauria; Squamata; Anolidae.
GCACUUUGUGCCAUAUGUAAGCCAUCCUGAGUCCUUUUGUGGAGAUGGAGGUUGGUUCAUCAAGUACUCUGCUAUGGCUGACUACAUAGAAAUCCACAAGCAUGUGAACAAUUUCAACAGAAAGGAGGAAACCAUGAAAAUGAAUAAAAGAUUUUGUGUGUAGCCCCCUC